RNAcentral lists this long non-coding RNA (7662 nucleotides) under Solanum lycopersicum (tomato). Its description in RNAcentral is "long non-coding RNA (SLYC_LNC000244)". The record is from RNAcentral. Lineage: Eukaryota; Viridiplantae; Streptophyta; Magnoliopsida; Solanales; Solanaceae.
AAACAAUUAAAAUGUUAUUAAACAACAACAAACAAUACAGUUUAGCCAAACAUUGUAUCUACCAUAUAAUACAGUACAAUAGAGUACAAUACAUUAUGAAACAAUGGGUAACAAUGAUCCAAAAACUUAUAAUAGUAGGAAAAUUAGAGUCAAAUUCUAUUACAAUUAGAAAUCUUUUUUCACACUAUUAGGUUGGAAAAGUUGGCAAAAGGGUGGCGUCUCGCGACUAGCAUCGCAGCUCUAACUCGCCUUAGAACUCUUCACUGUGGCGUGUCACACCAAACAUCGCGCCUGAGAAGCGCCUCAGAGUUUUCGACAGGCGCGUCAAGCCAAUUAGUAUGCCACAAAACCUUCCCUGAAUUUCCACCAGUUGGCGCGCCAACCAGUGUGCCAGCCACUAGUGAUUUUUGCCUUAGUCAUUUUCUUGCAUGUAUUUGCUCCUUUUUUCUUCGUUCCAACUUCAAUUUCCUCGAAAGUUUUUGAAAAAACUAAUGAUGUGUGUGAGUGCACAAUCGUCACAGUUACACACAAAAAUCAAGCCAAUAACUAAAGAUUAUUCUUUAAUUCAAUCAAUUCAUGGAUAAUUAUUGACAACUUAAGCAUAUAAAUAUGCCUACCAUCAAUAAUCUUUCCUGUCAUUCCUUAUGUGUAAGCGCAAUAAAAAAUCAUCAGGAAGACCUUAACAUUUUUCAAGGAAAAUACCUUCCAAAGAAUAAAUUUUCCUAACUAUAUUUUGGAAUUGGUUAGACAAAAAGUUGUUGACAAAUGAUAGAAGUAGAGGACUUGAAAAAUUAAGGUGGUUUCCGUGGAUAUCUCCACUAGCAAUGAAUAAGGGUAGUAUUCACAUAUUAAUAGGUGCAAGAGAUAUGAAAAUAGAAACGAAGAAUACUGUACAGGAAAAUUAUUUGUGUCAUUUAGAGCUGUAAAUGGCACAAAUGAAAAUAGAAACGAAGAAUACCACCUUGAGAUCUUUUAAAGAGUUUCAAAUGGGCCAUCUGUUUGGGUCAUAAUUGUGACCAGGGGUUGGUUACUAUCGUGGUAAUAAUCACACCGGAUAGUUAAAUUAUAUUUAUCAUCUAAAACAAGGUAAAUUUAUAUCUCAAAUAUAUUACAACUGGAAAGUAUAUAUCUAGUAGAACACAAGAUUAUCUGAGAUCGACCAAACAUCAAAUACUAACUCAAGACUGAUCAAACAUCAAAUACUAACUCAACACCACCUAAGAUUGUCCAAACAUCAUAUACUAACUAAAUACUACCUUAGUUUGGCGAAACAUCAGUACUAACUAACUCAACGCCACCUCAAGAAUAUAGUGUGCUAAUGGGAGAAGGGGUGUCUGGGCCUACUGAUCAAGCCUCGACAACUAUUUAUCAAAAUCAGAGUAAUGAAGUGAAAAUUGAAGAAAUUAGUCUUGUUUUUUUAAUGGAUUGGAUGACAUAUUACUCAAUAGGUCGCCCCACAUGAUCCAAUAGAGAAUACUAGCAAUCUCUUGAAAUUUGAGGUCUUCACCAAACACUACCGCCAUAUAACACACAGAAGGACUUUUUGUAAUAUGAUGUUUGUGAUUCUUUAUCACCUCUUUCUAAGAGCUCGUAUCUUUUGACGUUUUGUAAUUCGAUAUUUGUGAUUCAUUUUAUCUCUCUCUGAAAAUUCGUAUCUUUUAACGUUUUGUAAUUCGAUGUUUGUGAUUCAUUUUACCUCUCAUAUCUUUUUUGCUUUCUUGGCUAAUUAGGCUUAUAAUCAAUUUUGUAAAAUAAUUAUUUUAUAAGAUAUCUGUUUUUUCAGAUAUUAUUCCUAAUAGAAAUAUUUAUUUUUUUUGUUCCUUAGUAUUAGUUUCGUCUAUGUUCUUUCUACUUUAUUCUUGGAUUCCAGAACUGUCUACUAAUAUUCACUUACUUUAUUUCUUUUUAAUUGUCAUGUAUGUUAAAAACGAUUUACUUCAUGUUAGAGAAAAAACAUAAAAUCACCAUUGAAGUUAUCUCGAAUUUUCAAAAAGACAUUUUAACUUUAAGGGUGUCCUAUUACCCCAUUAAACAACUUCACAAUAGUAUGUAUACCCCAUUUUUCACCUAAUACCACUUAUACAAAAAUAUUUAUAACUCACGCACGAAUAGUCACUUGACAUGUGUUAAAAGUAAUUUUACAUUAUUUUUAUUUGAUUUCUUUGCUUUUCUUUUAAUUUUCUUUUUCCUUUUUUUCUUUUUUCCUGUUUCUCUUUCUUCUUCACCCUCAAUCUCUAUUCUCAACUUUUGUCAUUCCUUUCGUUAUGUAGAACAACUGCCAAACCCGCUGUGGCGAAACAAAAUUUUUGAAAACAUUAUUAAUUAUUUGUCAAACUACCACCAAUUAAUUUAUUUAUGAAAAUAAAUAUUGGUAAAUAAUCAAAAUUUAAAUACUCAAAAUAUCACCAAGUCAAAAUAUGACAUUUAAAUAACUUCCUUCUUCAACUUCUAACUCCCGAAUCGAGUUUUUUAUAGUUUCGUUAUUCCUAAAUCUAAAACUUGAUUUUUAGGAGGAAUAAAACACUAAACUAAUUUGUUUUUCAAAAAAAAGAAAAGAAUAAGAAUGAACACAAUAACAUUUGUUUUUUAAAAAAAAUGGAGGAAGACAUAGAUGUCCAAGAAAUAUGGGAAAGCUAAUCAUGGUAGGGAAGAUGAGAAAAGUAAAAAUUAUUCAUAAUAAAGCUUUAAAAAGAUCAAUACAGUGGUUUAUAUAUUUUUUUAAAAAUAAGUCAAAUUGGGUGUGCCACAUGACAAUUUUUCGUUGGUCUGAAGCUGUUUGAACAGUCCUUCACGCGCCCAAAUUUCGUGACAACAUGAGUGGUGUUAAAAUUAGUCAAAAGGGUAUCUUUAUUGUGGAUUUAGAUAGUUUAGUGGGGUAAUAAGACACACGCAAAAUUAAGGUGUCCUUUUGAAAAUUCGAUACAACUUCAAUGGUAACUUUAUGUCUUUUCUCCUUCAUGUUAAUAUAAGAAUUAAUUAGUUUCUUUCCAACUUUAAGCUUAGCAUUAAUUAUUUUAAAAUUAAGAAGUACAUAAAUAGAUUUAAAGAAGUACUCAUUUCGUUUUAAUUUAUGUAACAUUUUUUGGAUUUCGAAAUUUAAAAUAGUCUAUUUUUUCAUAAAUUUUUCAUAUAUCUUUUAAAUAUGUUGAAUUUUCAAUUAUUUUGACUUAUAUUUUUUCAAUAAAGGGGUUCGAAAUCUAUUAAAUAACUAAAAAAUAUUUUUAACCAUGUAUAUGUAGUAAUAUUUUUCACCGGAGGGGAUUUAGAUGACCCCCCUAAGAACAUGUUGUCUCCGGCCCUGCCCACAACCGGUCUGUCUAAUUGUCAUCCCUAGUUAUACACUAAAAAUGGUCUUAUUUUAUUUCAAGGAAAUGAAUAGAUAACUAAUCCAAGAUUUAAUAAUCCUUGGAUAAAACCCUAAAUUACUAAACUAUCCUCAUAUUUUGUUUCCUAAUUUAUUUCGUAAUUUGAUUUCCUUUUUAUUUAUAUUUAAAUGGUUAUAAAUGUUCUUUUUGAUUCUCCAAAUUUGUUUAGUACAAUUUGAUGACUUCACUAAUACUUUUUUCUCUAUUUUUUUUAUUCAAUGUAGUUCGUUGAUUUACCACUUGAGCUUUAUAAUUUUUUAGUAAUCUUUAGGUAUUAAACAAUUUAAGAAGCUUUAAAUUUAUGUUAAGUAUAGGAUAUUUGAUCAACAAAAUACUACAAAUACACAGUGCCAUUAAGUAUCUCCAUAAUGGUACAUCACACCUCAAAAUUAAUAACAAGAAGGUUUCAUCCCUACAAAGUUCUUUAAAAAAUGAAAGAAGCCCGUAGAGCUGCCAACGACAAUAAAGUAGGAAUUAGUCUCUUUGAUAUUGAGAUUAGGACUUCUAUAGGAGACUCUAUUCUCUCAAGUUCUACUUCAUUUGUGCUAGUAAAAGAUAUUACAAAUCUUGUGAUACUUGGUACUCUUUUUAUAGAGGAACUUAUACCUCUCAUGGUAACUAACCAAGGAAUUCAACUAGAAACUAUUCUAUUUCCCUACCUUUUGAUAAACCUCCUAUCAAGAAAGUCUUUUGUACCUUGUAACACAAGGAGACCCAAAUCAAUUUUGAAGAACAUUAUUUUUCUUGCAAGAUACUCUCUCUCAAGAAUAUUUGAUUAGAGUUUACUCUUAUCUGUCUUUGUAUUUUAAAUUAGUUUGAUAAUAAUAUCAAAUUUCAAUUUUUAAAACCAUCUUUUUCUUUACUUCCCUAAUCUGUUUUUUAUUGGUUUAAGUAUUCAUGGUUGACACCACCACCUACUUUUAAUUAAUUGCUUGCACAAGCAUAUGAUCGACCCUACCGCCUAAUUUAUUGCAUUUGUACUUACAUUACUUACUUGCAUUAUAAUUUAAUUAUUGUACUUUCUAUCCUUCUUUUCCUUUCUUCCCCUUUAUUUUAGGGGUUUUCGCUUCCGAGCACUUGGUAUCAGAUCAUGCUUUUCGAAAUUCAAAUUGAUCCAAGAGAUUGUUAUAAAAUAAUUUUUACGGUACCUUUUGGUCAAUAUGAGUGUGUGUUAUGACAUUUGGAUAGAGUUUUAACAAAAUAAUGAAUAAUAUGUUCAAUCCUUUCUAAAAAUUUAUCAUAGUCUACAUUGAUGAUGUUCAAAUAUUUUCUACUAGCAUUGACCAACACUUCAAGCAUCUGAAAGUUUUCUUCAAUAUCAUCAAAGAUAAUGACAUAAUUUUAUCCAAUAUUAAGUAUAGUAUUUUUCUAAUUAAUAUAAGGUUCCUUGGGUACAAUAUCCAACAAGGCACUAUUAUCCGUUUCCGACGAUAUAUACAACUCGGUGAUAAAUUUUCUAAUCAAAUACUUGAUAAAACCUAACUUCAACGAUUUUUGGGUUUGUCAAUUAUAUAACAUACUUUCUUCCAGGUCUUAGCAAUUUAUUGAAACCUCUCAAUGACAGGUUAAAGAAACCUCCUCUCACGUGGACCAACACCCAAACCAAUGUUGUUAAAGAGAUAAAAUUGAAAAUCCUCUUGCAGGACUGUGACAGAUCCAGAGACACAUCUUUAUCUGUGGUGUCUGGAUCUGCAUGAUUUAUAGAUUUCUCAAUUUCUAGUAUUCGACGUUGAAGGUCAGAAAGUUGAAAAAAAUCUCUAGCUUUAUGAAUUUGGAGUUUUGUGGCAAAUAUCCUAGGAAUUUAAUAAGGUUCGAUCAAUGGAAUAGAAGAGGUAGAGUUUUUCUUCUAAUUUUAAGGAAGCAAUAGGUGUGGAGUGUUGUUUUGACAUCAAAAGUUCCCCUAGAGCAUGUAAAUAUUUAUUUCUGUAGUUAAUUUGUUAAAAGAAAUAUAAACCUAGGGAUUUCCUCAACUUUCAGACCUUCAACGUCGAACUCAGAAAAUUGAGAAAUUUAUAAACCCUGUAGCUCCCUAAUAAAUAUGUGCCUUAUGGAUCUGUCAAAGUCCUUCAAGAAGAUUUUUUGAAAUUUCAUUGUGAAUAAAAUUCAACUUUAAGAUUUUCUUUGUUAAUAUGAAAAUCUUGAGUCAAAACAUAUAGUUCUCUACCUUGGGACGAUUAAGGGGGUGAUUGAGGUUGAUCAUCAUUGACUUCUGUCGGAGGAGGUGUUUUAACUUGUGAGAUCCUAGAGCAAAAUUUAACGACCUCAACUCUUAAACUUUCAACUAAAAGCCUAGGAAUAUAUUAGGAUUAUAAAACUGAACCUAAUAGGAUUAGACCCCUAAAAUGUUAAUAAAAACUAACUAAAUCUGAUUGGAUAAGGAAAGGACCAAAAUACCCCUCACUAUUUUUGGCGAACUUUCCUUAAAUGGACAACCUAACUUCAAAAGGUCAUAUCUCACUCAUUCGAACUCAAAACUUAGCAAACUUGGUGGAGUUAGAAAGAUAAUUCAAAUAUCUUUCCCAUGGUAUCUUGUAACACACCUAACUCAUCCUGUGCUAGGAGUUAUAGAUGUUUAUAGUUUUCCAAAAUCGCACACUUAGCUUAACUUGCAAAAUUUCAUAUUUUGCUAUUUCCAAUUUAAUUCUUUUUGGAACUCAAGGUGCUAAAUCUAGUGAACUGACCUUAAUACUUAAGAAAUUUUUAAUUCCUUGGUAAAAUCUCACUCACUACGAGAAACAACUCAAGUCUUAGUUCGAAAUUUUUUCUGGGGUGUUACAGAAUGUACGAGUAGGCAAGUUGGAAUGCUAAACAUAACAUAAACUUGAAAAAAUUAUGAAGGAAACACUUACAUUGACUCUUCUCAACUCAUGAGUGAUUUAAUUCAAAAUAAAGCAGUAAAACACAUGCAAUAUAUACAUGAAAAGCUUUAUAAACAGUAAAAAUAACUUAAUUCAUUAAGGAAAAUGCAACAACAAACUCAACUUUUACUAAUAUAAUAAUGUAAUAUAGUUGUUGUGGAGAUUCUCUAACCGGCAACCAUUAUUAUGAGCCUAAAUGAUGGUACAACGCCUUACCUCAUGCUGCCAAGGACAGUGUUUUACCUUGUCGGGGGUAUAAAACUUAACUCACUGAGUGGAUUCACUAGUCUAUGCUAAAAGCAUCUUAAGGAGUCAUCUAAAAAGUAUAAUCCUUUGCUACCCAUAAUGGCUACAUGGUUUAUGGAGAGUUGAGUUAAUAUGAACUCGCAUCCCCGUACCGAUGUUCAAUACUACUCCCAAAAUAUACUUAACUCAUAUGUUUUUAAAACAAACUUCUUUCUUUGGUUUGAGAUAAUUACUCAAAACUUAGCUUAAAAACUCUUUUUGAAUCGAUGUUCCCUUUCUUGCUCAAAACUCUUUUGAAAAUCUCAGUUUCCACUCAUCUUAAAUGUUAAAACAUUUACUCUUUGGAAUAAUUAGUUCUCAUAUAUAAUUUUAAAGAAAAUGAAAUCAACUUUUUACUCUUUGCUUAAUUUGAAACUUGAGUCUUAAAAUAAGGUUAAAAUGUUUGUUAAAGACUUUUGAAAAACUUUAUGAACUUCUCUUAACUUGACUUUGAUCUUAACUGCUCUUGACUUGACUCUUAACUGGUCCUUUAAUUGAAAUAUGAAUUGAAGGACUGUGAUUUGUGAUUGCAAAGAUCUCAUGAUGUUUAGAAAUAGUUUUAGAUAGCUAAACAUGAUUAAAAAAACUAUAAUCUCACUAUUUGAGGGUGCGUCCGCGACGCGGAGAAACAUUAAAAUUUUGUUUUGAAAAUGUAUUUUGAGGCAGAAUGUCCUAUGACAGCUCCGCGACUCGAAACAAAAAUUCUGGGAAUCAACUCCGCGACGCGCCACCACCUUCGGAUUUCGUCCGACGAAAUUUUUUCUUCAUUUUUCGGCUCUAAACCCUCUAAACUCUAUGGGUUCUUUCCUCAAACACUUAGAAUCGAUUAAAUGUUCAAAGUACAUCAGAUUCUACUCAAAAUUGAACUUAAAAUCACGGAUUAGGAUCCAACAACUCCUCAACGAAUUCAACACAACAAGAAUUUAAUGGAACUUCAACAAACCCAUCAAGAAUUCAAUUUCUAAGCUUUCGAGAACAUAAAAAUUUGCUGAAAUAAAUCAUGAUUGGUGCAUGGACGAAUUAACCCAACGCUAUGUCAUCUCACAUACCUUGUAGGGAUCACCUUCAACGAAAUCCACAAGUUAAUCUCGACGAUCUUGAACGUUCUUACUUUCUCUUCUCCUUUCUCUUUUCUCCAAGCCCUAGCGUGAAAU